This is a non-coding RNA of Podarcis lilfordi (Lilford's wall lizard), 76 nucleotides long. Lineage: Eukaryota; Metazoa; Chordata; Lepidosauria; Squamata; Lacertidae. The record is from the annotation of a GenBank genome assembly.
UCCACUGUAACUCAGUGGUAGAACAUCUGGUUUGCAUGCAGAAGGUCUCUGGUUCAAUCUCCAGGUAUGACUGGAA